GGACCGCACCUAUCCCCCAGAGUCAUUUUGAAGAAUAAAGAAGAUAAGGUACAGAAAGUGCCCAGCACAGUGUGAGCGCUUCAAAGAUGGCAGCUCCUGCGCCCCAGAGCUCCCAGCGCCUUUCGUCAGCCCAACGGGUGGAGCUUGCACAGCAGGAAGACCUCAGGAGCAGCUAAACAAGCACUGGCCUUGAGAUGAGCAAUGUUGAAGCAGUUGCAGCUCAGCCACCAUCAGACACUUAGACCGACUCCUCGUUCCACCAGCCAUCACUACAGCUUUGACUGGACCAGAGACUGAGUUCUGUUACUUUCUCCUGAUAAGAGGCCGCCAACUGUGGACUGGUUCUGGCCAGUUUACAGAAGCUGUGCACUUGAGAGGCUUCAUGUCCCUGCUUCACCUUUUGAUGUAUAGGCCCUAAUUGUAAUACAUUUAAAUGUUAAGUCUCCGCUCCAAAGUGAACAUGGGUCACAUGUAACAUGCACGUUUGCUACAUGCUUCAGGACCCCUUUCAUGAACAUUCAUAGCUCCUCCUGUAACCUGUUGAAUAUGUAUGUUUGGCCAACCCCCUCAGCAUAAUUCCCGUCUCCCUUGAAAAACCUGCCUUUCAGCCUCUCCCAGAGGCUAUACUUCCCAACCUGUCAGAACGGCCACCUUGCAGGCUGUAAUCCUUUAUUAAAAAAAAAAAAACAACCAA
RNAcentral lists this long non-coding RNA (694 nucleotides) under Homo sapiens (human). RNAcentral describes it as "HSALNT0392352". Lineage: Eukaryota; Metazoa; Chordata; Mammalia; Primates; Hominidae. The record is from RNAcentral.